RNAcentral lists this ribosomal RNA (253 nucleotides) under uncultured bacterium. RNAcentral's name for it is "partial 16S ribosomal RNA". It matches the Rfam family "Bacterial small subunit ribosomal RNA", at positions 524 to 776 of the family's 1533-position model. The record is from RNAcentral.
UACGUAGGGUGCGAGCGUUGUCCGGAGUUACUGGGCGUAAAGGGUGCGUAGGCGGCUUUUUAAGUUUGGUGUGAAAUCUCCCGGCUCAACUGGGAGGGUGCGCCGAAUACUGAGAGGCUAGAGUGUGGGAGAGGAAAGUGGAAUUCCUGGUGUAGCGGUGAAAUGCGUAGAUAUCAGGAGGAACACCGGUGGUGUAAACGGCUUUCUGGACCAUAACUGACGCUGAGGCACGAAAGCGUGGGUAGCAAACAGG